AUAUAUAUAUAUAUGUGUGUGUGUAAAAGUCUUCAUGAAGUUCCACUGAGUGAUGGAGAUUCAGUUUAUUGAAGAAUAAACAAUUUAUUGUAAAUUUUGCGAAGCUGGACACCUCCAAGUGACUUGAUAGAUUCACCCUGGGACACCAAACCUCCGAAGACACACAAAC
Long non-coding RNA from Octopus sinensis (East Asian common octopus), 169 nucleotides. RefSeq lists it as uncharacterized. The transcript is spliced from 3 exons. Lineage: Eukaryota; Metazoa; Mollusca; Cephalopoda; Octopoda; Octopodidae. The record is from RefSeq and is a predicted model, not a curated record.